Molecule: ribosomal RNA, 407 nt
Filed under: uncultured bacterium
Lineage: Bacteria
Description: partial 16S ribosomal RNA
Rfam family: Bacterial small subunit ribosomal RNA
Source: RNAcentral
GACGAACGCUGGCGGCGUGCCUAAUACAUGCAAGUAGGACGCAGUUGCGAACGGGUGAGUAACGCGUAGGUAACUACCUAUUAGAGGGGGAUAACUAUUGGAAACGAUAGCUAAUACCGCAUACUAGUAGAUGGACCUGCGUUGUAUGAGCUAGUAGGUAGGGUAAUGGCCUACCUAGGCAACGAUACAUAGCCGACCUGGGAAGGAGGACGGCCAAAAUGGGACUGAGGAGCGGGCCAGAAUUCUUCGGGGGGCAGCAGUAGGGAAACUUCGGAAAUGGGGGGAACCCUGGCCGAGCAACGCCGGGUUAGUGAAAAAGGUUUUCGGAUCGUAAAACUCUGUUAUUAAGGAAGCGGUACUUAACCAGAAAGGGACGGCUAACUACGUGCCAGCAGCCGCGGUAAUUC